Molecule: ribosomal RNA, 253 nt
Filed under: uncultured bacterium
Lineage: Bacteria
Description: partial 16S ribosomal RNA
Rfam family: Bacterial small subunit ribosomal RNA
Source: RNAcentral
CAAGACCGUGAGGUGGAGCAAAACUCAAAAACUUAGUCUCAGUUCGGAUUGUAGGCUGAAACUCGCCUACAUGAAGCUGGAGUUGCUAGUAAUCGCGAAUCAGCAUGUCGCGGUGAAUACGUUCCCGGGCCUUGUACACACCGCCCGUCACACCAUGAGAGUUGGCAAUACCCAACGUACGUGAUCUAACCCGCAAGGGAGGAAGCGUCCUAAGGUAGGGUCAGCGAUUGGGGUGAAGUCGUAACAAGGUAGC